Molecule: ribosomal RNA, 481 nt
Filed under: uncultured bacterium
Lineage: Bacteria
Description: bacterial SSU rRNA
Rfam family: Bacterial small subunit ribosomal RNA
Source: RNAcentral
AUUGAACGCUGGCGGCAGGCCUAACACAUGCAAGUCGAGCGGAUGAAGGUAGCUUGCUACCGGAUUCAGCGGCGGACGGGUGAGUAAUGCCUAGGAAUCUGCCCGAUAGUGGGGGAUAACGUUCCGAAAGGAACGCUAAUACCGCAUACGUCCUACGGGAGAAAGCGGGGGAUCUUCGGACCUCGCGCUAUCGGAUGAGCCUAGGUCGGAUUAGCUAGUUGGUGAGGUAGUGGCUCACCAAGGCGACGAUCCGUAGCUGGUCUGAGAGGAUGAUCAGCCACACUGGGACUGAGACACGGCCCAGACUCCUACGGGAGGCAGCAGUGGGGAAUAUUGGACAAUGGGCGAAAGCCUGAUCCAGCCAUGCCGCGUGUGUGAAGAAGGUCUUCGGAUUGUAAAGCACUUUAAGUUGGGAGGAAGGGCUGUUACCUAAUACGUGACAGUUUUGACGUUACCAACAGAAUAAGCACCGGCUAACUUC